GUCCUAGCCGUAAACGAUGGGCACUUGGCAGGGGGGUAACCUAUGGUCCUCUCUGCCGAAGCAAAUGUGCUAAGUGCCCCGCCUGGGGGAGUACGCUCGCAAGGGUAAAACUCAAAGAAAUUGACGGGGGCUCACACAAGAGGUGGAGCAUGUGGUUUAAUUCGAAGCAACGCGAAGAACCUUACCUGGCCUUGACAUGCACGGAUUAGUCCCAUGAAAGUGGGAUUACAGCCCUUCGGGGUCGGAACGUGCACAGGUGUUGCAUGGCUGUCGU
This 274-nucleotide ribosomal RNA is filed under the name uncultured bacterium. Its description in RNAcentral is "partial 16S ribosomal RNA". It matches the Rfam family "Bacterial small subunit ribosomal RNA", at positions 793 to 1055 of the family's 1533-position model. The record is from RNAcentral.